Molecule: ribosomal RNA, 486 nt
Filed under: uncultured bacterium
Lineage: Bacteria
Description: partial 16S ribosomal RNA
Rfam family: Bacterial small subunit ribosomal RNA
Source: RNAcentral
AUUGAACGCUGGCGGCAUGCCUUACACAUGCAAGUCGAACGGCAGCACGGGUGCUUGCACCUGGUGGCGAGUGGCGAACGGGUGAGUAAUACAUCGGAACAUGUCCUGUAGUGGGGGAUAGCCCGGCGAAAGCCGGAUUAAUACCGCAUACGAUCUACGGAUGAAAGCGGGGGACCUUCGGGCCUCGCGCUAUAGGGUUGGCCGAUGGCUGAUUAGCUAGUUGGUGGGGUAAAGGCCUACCAAGGCGACGAUCAGUAGCUGGUCUGAGAGGACGACCAGCCAGACUGGGACUGAGACACGGCCCAGACUCCUACGGGAGGCAGCAGUGGGGAAUUUUGGACAAUGGGCGAAAGCCUGAUCCAGCAAUGCCGAGUGUGUGAAGAAGGCCUUCGGGUUGUAAAGCACUUUUGUCCGGAAAGAAAUCCUUGGCCCUAAUACGGUCGGGGGAUGACGGUACCGGAAGAAUAAGCACCGGCUAACUACGUG